AAGGAUUUAAGUUAAAAAAACUAGUAACCUUCAAAGUUAAAAAUAGAUAAAUUAUCUAAGCCUUA
Molecule: transfer RNA, 65 nt
Filed under: Pseudocolaspis sp. EMHAU-15071004
Lineage: Eukaryota; Metazoa; Arthropoda; Insecta; Coleoptera; Chrysomelidae
Description: tRNA-Trp
Source: RNAcentral